Molecule: ribosomal RNA, 1273 nt
Filed under: uncultured Sebacina
Lineage: Eukaryota; Fungi; Basidiomycota; Agaricomycetes; Sebacinales; Sebacinaceae
Description: eukaryotic LSU rRNA
Rfam family: Eukaryotic large subunit ribosomal RNA (bases 598-1273)
Source: RNAcentral
AAGUAAAAGUCGUAACAAGGUUUCCGUAGGUGAACCUGCGGAAGGAUCAUUAAUGAAACUUCAAAGUCGGCCAAAGGUUGUUGCUGGUGAUUAUUCACAUGUGCACGCCUUUGGUCGCAAAUCCACACACACCUGUGCAUCUAUGACUCGAGGUUGUAAUGACUGAGAGUAACUUUUAUACACUCUUGUAUGUAAUGGAAUGUCUUUUUGUGCUACAAUGUACAAUAUAAACAACUUUCAACAACGGAUCUCUUGGCUCUCGCAUCGAUGAAGAACGCAGCGAAAUGCGAUAAGUAAUGUGAAUUGCAGAAUUCAGUGAAUCAUCGAAUCUUUGAACGCACCUUGCACCCUUUGGUAUUCCGAAGGGUACGCCCGUUUGAGUGUCAUUGUAAUCUCACUUCUACAACUUUAUUGUUGUUUGAAUGUGGACUUGGAUGUUGCCGUUUUAUCACGGCUCGUCUUAAAUGCCUGAGUGUACCCUGUUUUGCAGCGUAUCCAGUGUAAUAAACAUUUCACUAGAGUUGGUUGAAAGACCACGUUGACUAUAUGGGCUCUAUGCUUCAAACCGUCUGCCAUGUGGACAAUUUCUUGACAAUUUGACCUCAAAUCGGGUGGGACUACCCGCUGAACUUAAGCAUAUCAAUAAGCGGAGGAAAAGAAACUAACAAGGAUUCCCCUAGUAACGGCGAGUGAAGAGGGAAAAGCUCAAAUUUUAAAUCUGGUGUCUUUGACUCCCGAGUUGUAAUCUAGAGAAGUGUUUUCCGUGUCGGACCGUGUACAAGUUCCCUGGAACGGGGCGUCAUAGAGGGUGAGAAUCCCGUAUAUGCCAUGGACUACCGAUGCUCUGUGAUACACUCUCAACGAGUCGAGUUGUUUGGGAAUGCAGCUCAAAAUGGGUGGUAAAUUCCAUCUAAAGCUAAAUAUUGGCGAGAGACCGAUAGCGAACAAGUACCGUGAGGGAAAGAUGAAAAGCACUUUGGAAAGAGAGUGAAACAGUACGUGAAAUUGUUGAAAGGGAAGCGUUUGAAGUCAGUCGCAUCUGUUGGGGUUCAGCCUGGCUUUUGCCUGGUGUAUUUCCUUUCCGAUGGGUCAGCAUCAGUUUCGACCGAGGGAAAAAGACAUUUGGAAUGUGGCUGUCUUCGGGCAGUGUUAUAGCCUUGUGUUGUAUGUCUCGGUUGGGACUGAGGAUUGCAGCGCGCCAUAAAUGGCCGGGGGUCGCUCCUCUCGACACGCGCUUAGGAUGCUGGCAUAAUGGCUUUAAGCGACCCGUCUU